Molecule: long non-coding RNA, 515 nt
Organism: Malaclemys terrapin pileata
Lineage: Eukaryota; Metazoa; Chordata; Testudines; Emydidae
Exons: 3
Source: RefSeq, a predicted model, not a curated record
ACUGCUUGCUUUGCUGGUGCCUAGAGCCGGCCCUGGAAGCAAGUAAAAACAGGAAAAUGAAGGAGGAAGAAAAAAACUUAACAAAGCUUGGGAUAGAUUAUGCAUCCUUCCAAAACCCUGACCACUUUCCGAAGGAAAACAGUUACAUUACAGAUAGGUCCUACAGACUCUGAGCAUGCAAGCCCUGAGCAUGUCUGCCUCAUUAUCAGAGUGAGAUCUUCAGAAUGGGAGAGAUCCUCUGUGGAGAAACCAGGAGAUAUUGAAAAGGCAGAAUGAACAACAGACUGGGGCCUGGUCUACACUACGACUUUAAUUCGGAUUUAUCAGCUUUAAUUCGAAUUAACCCUGCAACCGUCCACACAACGACGCUAUUUAUUUCGAUGUAAAGGGCCCUUUAAAUCGAUUUCUGUACUCCACCCCGACAAGCGGAGUAGUGCCAAAAUCGAUUUUAGCAAUUCGAAUUAGGGUUAGUGUGGCCGCAAUUCGAUGGUAUUGGCCUCCGGGAGCUAUCCCAC